RNAcentral lists this non-coding RNA (91 nucleotides) under Streptomyces coelicolor. Lineage: Bacteria; Bacillati; Actinomycetota; Actinomycetes; Kitasatosporales; Streptomycetaceae. The record is from RNAcentral.
GGGGAAGCCGGUGCAAUUCCGGCGCUGACCCGCAACCGUGAGCCGCCCGCCGAGCCUCCCCGAGACUCCCGGACGGUGAGCCGGACUGCCC